Molecule: ribosomal RNA, 253 nt
Filed under: uncultured bacterium
Lineage: Bacteria
Description: partial 16S ribosomal RNA
Rfam family: Bacterial small subunit ribosomal RNA
Source: RNAcentral
UACAUGUGGGGCAAGCGUUGUUCGGAAUUACUGGGCAUAAAGGGUGCGUAGGUGGUUUGUUAAGUCAGGGGUGAAAUCCCGGAGCUCAACUUCGGAAUUGCCUUUGAUACUGUCUGUCUUGAGUCCGGGAGAGGUGAGUGGAAUUCCUAGUGUAGAGGUGAAAUUCGUAGAUAUUAGGAAGAACACCAGUGGCGAAGGCGGCUCACUGGCCCGGUACUGACGCUCAUGUGCGAAAGCGUGGGGAGCAAACAGG